AUAGCGUAUAUUAAAGUUGUUGCAGUUAAAAAGCUCGUAGUUGAACUUCAGACCUGACCGGGCGGUCCGCCUAACGGUGUGUACUGUCUGGCCGGGCCUUACCUCUUGGUGAGCCGGCAUGCCCUUCACUGGGUGUGUCGGGGAACCAGGACCUUUACCUUGAGAAAAUUAGAGUGUUCAAAGCAGGCUUACGCCGGAAUACAUUAGCAUGGAAUAAUAAAAUAGGACGUGCGGUUCUAUUUUGUUGGUUUCUAGAGUCGCCGUAAUGAUUAAUAGGGAUAGUUGGGGGCAUUAGUAUUCAGUUGCUAGAGGUGAAAUUCUUGGAUUUACUGAAGACUAACUACUG
This 346-nucleotide ribosomal RNA is filed under the name uncultured eukaryote. RNAcentral's name for it is "SSU rRNA". It matches the Rfam family "Eukaryotic small subunit ribosomal RNA", at positions 594 to 945 of the family's 1831-position model. The record is from RNAcentral.